Long non-coding RNA from Peromyscus leucopus (white-footed mouse), 3980 nucleotides. RefSeq lists it as uncharacterized. Lineage: Eukaryota; Metazoa; Chordata; Mammalia; Rodentia; Cricetidae. The transcript has 3 exons. The record is from RefSeq and is a predicted model, not a curated record.
GGGGCGGCGGGGUGGGAGGGAGGAGUGAGGGGGAGCAGGACUUGCGCCCUGCUCCACUCCCCCCUCCACACACACACACACUCACCGACUCUAAAAUAAAAAAUUAUUUGGGGGUGGGGGGCAAGAGUGCUCCAGGACGCUGCAGCCCAGAGCCGGGGAGGCGCGGGCAGAGGGAAACCAGGUAGAGUGGGUCCCGGACACCCUCCUCCAUGCGCACACCCACUUCCCCUCCCCGCCAGCGGACGCCGAGGGCCGGAGUGCAAGCCCCGAGCCCGCAGCAGCGUUCGGGAAACUUUGCCCAAGGAAAGCUAGGAAAGAAAAAAUCACCCGAAGUUGGGAGCUGAGCUUCCAAGUUAGAGCUAGGCAGCGGGUGAGGGGAGGCGGGAGGGAGCGCGCGCGAGAGCGAAAUCCAGCCCAAGUUUGGAGGGUCGCCGGUCCGGAAGGCCAGCUCCCGGGCCUGAGGGAGCAGAAGCCGCCUGGAGAGAGGGGGUUGGGGCGAGGCGGGCGGCGCAGGCCUGGGCUCAAGGGCCGAGAGCGCGCCCCCAAGGCCAAGUCAGGGACUCGGGAUCUGAGCGACCUAACUAGCGAUCGAGUCUGAAUGCUACCCCCAGAAGCCCUAAGUCCCCAGCUCCCAGGGGUCGCAGAAAGAGAGGCCGAGAUACAAAGACCGAGAAGCCCGAUUCCGGGUGCGUUCCAGUCCCCAGAGGGGAGCACCCGGGGCCGGGGCUCGAGGCACCCAGGCGUCCACCUCGGAGCAGUCGCCGGCCCGAGGACAAAGCACUUGAUCCCAAGAUCCCCAGUCUCUGGGAACCUGCUCCCGGCGCUGCGGGAGGUCCUCCAGCCUGAUUCCAAGGAGGGACACACCCCCUCCCACUCGGGGGCAAAUGCAAAAGCACUGAGCAAAGGGAGAGAAAAUGUUUCUUACGGACAGAACACAAUUGUUCUUUAGCUGUUACUCGAAGAAAGAGAAAAUGGGAAAAGGAAUGAAACUGACUGGCAGGAGCAGCCGGGAGGCCACGGUGGUGAGGCCCUCGGGUCACGGCCGCGCUGCCCAGGCGCCAGCAGCCACCGCGCACACCCGGGAGCCCGAAGACCCCUCUAUCCUCUCUGCAGCCCUUCCCUGGAAAUUAGGAAAGACCUGUUGGAAAUAAACCCCUGUCUCUUUAAUGCACACACGCGCGCGCGCUGCCGCUGUCAAAAAGCGGGCUUCACUCUGGCGUGGGAUACUUUCAGUUUUACGUAAAAUGUACAGCAACAGCACCCCCUGCGAUUGGAAAGUUUAUUCAGAAACGUGCUGCAAAGUCCCCUGGCGUCUCCCGCCUCCCAGCCUCCCAGCCUGCCUGCACCACCCUGCAGCCGCCGCAGUCGCCGCCGCCGCCGCCGCCGCAGCCAGGGAGACCGCUCUCCGAGUCCAAAUCUAGCAGCGCCCGGGCGGGGGCGGGGGAUGGACAGAGCCCCCGGGAGGCGCGGAGGGCGCAGGGUGGAGAGCCGAGCUGCAGGUGGACAUCUGUGAGUCUCUACAGAGCCAGGAGCCUUCCUCCCCUCUCCUCCAGCGGCAGCACCCAGCAUCCCUCCUCCGAGAGGUGUCGUUUCCGUAAAUUCACCCACCCGGCGGGGGAUUGUAUUGUUUUAAGGCAGGGCCCUGUGCUUGCACACGCUCGCCCACCUCCCAGCCUCACCGGCUUGUGGCUGUUUAUUCCUGUGUCUUAGGAAAGUUUCAAACCCAUUAGAAAAUGGCUUGCCUGAUUCGGCGAAGCUUCGGGCCCCUCUGAGGAAGAAACACAGGUUUUGAUGCCCAACGUUAGGAAAGCUGUGGGCUAGACUGGGGGGGUUGGGGAGCGUGUUAUUUCCCUCUAUCUGGUUUUCCUUGGCGGGGGGAUCUCACAUUCUGUUUGAGGAGGAGGAAGACUUUAUUGCUGUAACUGCAGGACACCGUUUCCCCUUUUCACUGAGUUCUUCAGAGCUGGUCAGCACCUCUUCCUCGGCUUUUUUUUUUUUUUUUUUUUUUUUUUUUUUCUUGUUAAAUCAGCCUUAGAAUCACCAAGUGAAUGUCGCUGCAGGGGGUAGCAGGGGGAGGCAGGACACAGAGGUGGACCUCUGGUGGGUAGGUGAGAUGAGAGGGGAAGAUAAGUGGAGCCUGGAGGCCUCGGAAAUAAACAAAUAAAUAAAUAAUAAAUAAAUGCCCCUGCAGGUAACAAUAGUGAGCCAGGCUUGUUCAGGACCGGCUGGGCAGAUUUGAAUCUUGUUCUCAUCCAUAAAAGUCCAUGCAGAAAGGAGAUGGACAAACUGUGCUGUAGAAAUAUAUACUGUAUAUGUGUGAUUUAUAUAUAAUGGCGUGUAUAAAGCUUUUCAGGGUUGGCGGUAGUGUAAAAAGUAAUGACUUUAUUACCUCUGAAAGGUUCUGUGGUUCACUUUUAACAGUCUUCUGAAUUACAAUUCAUUACACAAUCGUGUGCUCUCUAAAACCGGCACCCUAUCAGGGCCGCUAUCUGUGGUUAUUUCCAAUAAAUAACUGGCAGCAUUUUAUUGAUUUUCUUUUUUUAAAAAAAAAUCAUAGGAAAUUAAGCACUUAGUUACAAGUAGGUCUGCUAUGUUAUUGCACUUGUUUCAGAUUCCAGGGGGUUCCUUCGGAAGCCACAUCUUAAAACAUACAUUAAAAAGCCAGCUGCAGCUGCUUGCCCUGGGUGCCAGUGCAGAGAGUUGGAACAGAUAAAAGGAAAUUAAACCUGCACACAAAAACAAUCCAGUUCAGUGGGCGCUGGGGAAUCUGGAUUACAGCCAUCAAAGCAAGCCUGGACUUCAGACACCCCACUUUGCCUGUGGACUCUCCUCGGCCUUCCUCCAACAUCCCAGCCCUCCCAGUUUGGUUAUUUUUACUAUCCGUUUCAGGACGAUCUUCACAGUCAGAGCAAGGCAGAGGGCUGAGGAAAUGACCCCAUCGUUUCAGCAAUGAGCCUGCCUUGAUCGGCAUCACCCAGAAAGUUGGUAGCCUGUCUGUGGAGCUCUCGACCUCAGAGACAUGGAGAAAGAAAGGGGAAGGAAUUGCUGACCACUACCAGACAGAAUUAAUUAGAAAUAGCUCUGAGUAUUAAAGGAUCUCAUCUUUUCCCUACUCAAAAUCCAAACAAGCACCCAUGACUGUAUGUGAUGAAGGGCUUUGCAACCCACCUGCUCUGGACCUUUUUGCUACAGAAAGUGAACUGUUAGGGAAGGACAGUGCACAAACAGCAGUCGGGGACAGACGUCCUCUUACAGAACCCCAGCAUGUGUGUUCUGUCACGCACCUUCUAGACCCUCACUAUAACCAUUCAAUCUAUUGAGUCACGAGACUGUUUGAUCUUAUCUGCAAUUGUGAGCUGACUGACAACCUGCUUGGGCUGCAUAUUAAAUCGUCUAUAGUAGCUGUAUCAAGCUGAGAUGAUCUGUUAAUUCUAAAUUUAUUAACCCUUGGAGUGCAAUCAUCAUGUUUAAUCUAGUGUAGCCCACAUUUAUGCUACAAGACUAAAUCCUUCUUUAAGAUAUGGUGUUGUUGUGGGUUAGAAACAGCUAACAUGGGUUUCCUUAUGAUAAUCAGGGGAGAGUGACUGAAAACACUAGGGUGGUUACUGGGGCAGGUUGGCCCCAGCAUCUACCCAAAAUGAGCUUCGUCUGAAAGAAGAAAGUUCUCUCCAGAAGCAACUGUCUCUAAAAAAGAAUGCAAGAAAGAAAGAGAAACGGAGAGAGCUUCUGACAGACAGACAGACAGACAGACAGACAGAGAGAAAGGCUGAGUGCCCUGGCCAUGUCACCUACAGUGUGACAGAUGCAGAAUGUAUCUCCAAAGGUACACACCCAGCCAAAACCACCAACAAAAUUCCUGAUUGGAAUAACUUCAGGAUCUGUGAGGGUCACCUAUUCUGGAUUGAAAGAUUUUUCACCCCUUUCCCCCAAAGAAUUCUGAGCAAUUCAAACUACAAGCAGCUCUGCAAAAGAAAAAAAAA